Molecule: ribosomal RNA, 350 nt
Filed under: uncultured Thermus sp.
Lineage: Bacteria; Thermotogati; Deinococcota; Deinococci; Thermales; Thermaceae
Description: bacterial SSU rRNA
Rfam family: Bacterial small subunit ribosomal RNA
Source: RNAcentral
GCACAGGUGCUGCAUGGCCGUCGUCAGCUCGUGCCGUGAGGUGUUGGGUUAAGUCCCGCAACGAGCGCAACCCCCGCCGUUAGUUGCCAGCGGUUCGGCCGGGCACUCUAACGGGACUGCCCGCGAAAGCGGGAGGAAGGAGGGGACGACGUCUGGUCAGCAUGGCCCUUACGGCCUGGGCGACACACGUGCUACAAUGCCCACUACAAAGCGAUGCCACCCGGCAACGGGGAGCUAAUCGCAAAAAGGUGGGCCCAGUUCGGAUUGGGGUCUGCAACCCGACCCCAUGAAGCCGGAAUCGCUAGUAAUCGCGGAUCAGCCAUGCCGCGGUGAAUACGUUCCCGGGCCUU